RNAcentral lists this ribosomal RNA (494 nucleotides) under uncultured bacterium. RNAcentral's name for it is "partial 16S ribosomal RNA". It matches the Rfam family "Bacterial small subunit ribosomal RNA", at positions 28 to 507 of the family's 1533-position model. The record is from RNAcentral.
GACGAACGCUGGCGGCGUGCUUAACACAUGCAAGUCGAACGGUGAAGCGCCUUCCUUUUUGGUUGGUGUGGAUGAGUGGCGAACGGGUGAGUAACACGUGAGUAACCUGCCCCCUUCUUCUGGAUAACCGCAUGAAAGUGUGGCUAAUACGGGAUAUUCUGGGUCUGUCGCAUGAUUGGUCUGGGAAAGAUAUUGUUUCGGUGGGGGAUGGGCUCGCGGCCUAUCAGCUUGUUGGGGGGGUGAUGGCCUACCAAGGCGGUGACGGGUAGCCGGCCUGAGAGGGUGGCCGGUCACACUGGGACUGAGACAAGGCCCAGACUGAUACGGGAGGCAGCAGUGGGGAAUAGUGAACAAUGGGCGAAAGCCUGAUGCAGCGACGCCGCGGGAGGGAUGGAGGCCCUCGGGUUGUGAACCUCUUUCGCCAGUGAAGCAGGCCUGCCUCGUUUGUGGGUGGGUUGACGGUAGCUGGAUAAGAAGCGCCGGCUAACUACGUG